This is a long non-coding RNA of Myiozetetes cayanensis, 1137 nucleotides long. RefSeq lists it as uncharacterized. The record is from RefSeq and is a predicted model, not a curated record. The transcript is spliced from 6 exons. Lineage: Eukaryota; Metazoa; Chordata; Aves; Passeriformes; Tyrannidae.
CCAUGGAUGCAGGAACAUACAGUCUAAGUUAGUAAAGAGAAAUGGGAACCUCCAUGGUCCUGUCACCUUCUCCUGAAAGGUCAGAGGAAUGGUCCCUGAAUGUCCCCGAGGGAGCAGCUGAAGGAGGCAGCAGCAGCAAGGUGUGUCCUCCGUUCCUGCAGUGUCCCAGGCUGCUGCUGAAGGACCUGGCUCCAAGGUCUGAAAGCAGCUCUUCAAAAUGGCAAGUGAGGUGGUUUAUGCCGAGGUACCACCCAAGGAAAGAGCACAUUUCGCUUCAGAAACUUCAGAUGCAGGUGAUGCAAUCACAUACGCUGAGGUGAAGGUGAAAUGGAGAUCUGACAGACCUGACAGCACACCCGAAAUGACACAUUCAGUGACCUGCUUGGAGAAGUCGCACUGGUGUUUCGUUGUUUCUGCCCUGGUCUUCACUGCAGUGGUUCUGCUCAUCACUGUCAUCCUCCUGGCAGUGAAAUGUCCCAGCCUCUGAGGGGGAUGCUGACAUCCUGCUGACACACACGGGGUCUCAGAACUCUUCCUGGGUGUGAACCACUUUCUAAGACGAUCAUUUAAAAUGACCCAAAUAAAUAGUAGCUAAAUGUGGAAUGAAACCCUCUUUUUUGUAGGCAUGAAAUUCCACUUGCCCUCAGCAUUCCUUGCUAUUCUUUAAGUUUUAUGACCAGAGCAUGAACCAAGUGUUGAUUGCCUUAACACAUCACCACAACCUGCAUUAGGUAAUGAGCAUAAGCAGAAGCUGAGAGCAGAGUGUAGUGUACUUAAAUAUCCAUUUGUACAGAGACUGUAAGACUGGGAAGAGAUGUGGAAUUCUUACUUUAAUAUCAGCAUGCAUGAGUUAGUUGAAACAUUUGGAUUUGUAUUACAACUUUUUCUGUUGAACAUAAUAAUUAUUCUGAUCUUGUUCCAAGAGGCUUUACGAUUUCAGAUUUAUGACCUGAACAUGCUGCUUUUUAAAGCAAUUGAAACCUGGAGUCUUUUUCUUCUGCUGGUUUGGCAGUGCUCCAUGUGUCCCUGGGGGAGAACUUCAAUGCUAUGAAGCAGAGGGAAUGAUGGUUUCAACUAAAAUUACUACAGAGUGCUUGGACCCUGCUUGUUGAGUUCAGGAGUAGACACAGGUCUAGC